Molecule: long non-coding RNA, 1605 nt
Organism: Marmota monax (woodchuck)
Lineage: Eukaryota; Metazoa; Chordata; Mammalia; Rodentia; Sciuridae
Exons: 2
Source: RefSeq, a predicted model, not a curated record
GGAGGGAGGAAGCGGGGCCAGGGGCAAGUGCAGUAAGGAGACCAGAGGGGGCUGAAAAGAAAAAAGAGAUCUGAAGUGGGUAAGGGGAGGGCACAAACUAGAAGCAGAGAUGGCUGCCAGGAAUGGGGGGCAGCAUCUAUGGGCAGGAACAGAGGCAGAGGGCCUGGGUUUGGAAUGAGCUUGUAAGCUAGGUCAGGACCAGACCAACAGCAUGAGCUGGCUAUUUAUCUGGGCAGGGUGAAGCCUAAGGCCUAAGGAUGGGGAGGGGUGCAGAUGGGUGCCCUCGGGCUGGGGCCCUACAGAGAGACCCACAGCAGCAUCUAGAGAGCCUGUGACAGGGAGUAGCUGACCUGUGCUGCCUGAGAGCCAGGAAGCUGUAGGCCAGAGUGAAUGCCUGCACUCACCGCUGGCCACAGCCUACCACACUGCACUAGGUGCAUCCUGCACCAAACUCUGCACUUUUAACAGUCAGCAAGCUCAAGAAAAGACAUAGGAAUUAAAAGCUACGAAGAAUUAAGUAGUGCUUUUAAAUAAGCAGGAAUGUCAUUAACCACAGUCUUUUUACAGGAGUAUGAACAGGUGCAAAUAUGUACCAAAUCUACAGAGUGGAAGGUGGACAGAACUCAUUGGCCCCUGCAGAAUCCUGAGAGUUGGGCAUAUUGUUCUAGAAGACUAUGAGCGCCUAGGACCCGGAAGUGAGUCUCCCUGUCUCCCAAACUGCAUCAUUUCUCCCAUUGCAACCCUCUCAUCACUAAGGGUUGCAAUGGCUGAAAGUCUUCCUAUAGCAGAGACAAGGACAGCUUCUCGGAGCGCCUGCUGCGUCUCAGGUCUUUUCUUUCAUUAAACUUUGUAUCCUAGAUCCUGGACCAUUAAUAUGUCAAAGGAGAAAAAUUAUGACCAAGAACACCUAUCUCAAGCUUCAGCUGACAUCAAAAUUGGUUGGUGAAACAUCAGAAGGAGUCUCAUUAAAAUCAAGAAGAAAACAAGAAUGGCCCUCACUACAGUUCUACACAUUCUACUCAAUGCAAGAAGUGAAGAAUUGGAAAUAAAUGGCAAAGCUACUGAAAAUAAGAAAAAUCUAUCAAUAUUUUCAGAUUUCUAUCCCCUCAAAAAUACAACACAAUCAACUAGGCCAUUAGAAAUAAUCGGCUUAGUAAAGUUGCUCAAAUUAGAUUAACAUAUAAAAUAUUUUCUUAUUCAACCUUAAACAAGAAAUUCUGUCAUUUUCAUUGACACAGAUGGAUCUGGAGGACGUUAUGCUAAGAACUCAGCCAGACACAGUAAGACAAAUACUGUGUGUGAUCUCACUUAUAUAUGGACUUUAAAGAAGUCAAUCUCAGAGAAACAGGAAGCAGAAAGGGAGGGAAUGGAGGAAGGAGAGGUGGGGAAGUUAGAUUGGAGGAGUAAGUUUCAAAGAUCUACUGCACUGCAUAGUGACCACAGUUAAUAAUAAAGUAUAUUUCAAAACUGCUAAAAGGAUAGAUUUUUAACGUUCUCACAAGGGAAAAAGAAUAAAAAAGAGAAUGAUGAGAUGAUGGAUAUGCUAAUUCACUUGACUGAAUCUUUCUAUAAGGUACACAUGGAUUAAAACAUCACAUAAAUGUA